ACAACUCAUCAUUUUUUAGUACUAAUUAUCAACUAUAUCACUUUAUAAAUAUUUAUCACUUUCGGAAUACAACCGUCAUCACUAAUAUAAAAGUCACCAAAUUACACAUAAGUGUGUACAUAUAAGCAUAUAAUUUGCCAUACAUAGGGAUAGAUGGACUCAAAUCACUAGAUGUACACAUAGGCACAAUCGAUCUUUUUGGGUAUCAAUGUAUUAUCAUAAUCUGGCAUUGUUGGGUAUCAAUAUCAUCACAAUAUCUUCCAACCUUGUUGGAUGUAAAUAUUAUCAUAGUAUCCUCCGGCCUUGAUGGGUAUCAUCAUAGUAUCCUCUAGCCUUGUCGGGUAUUAUCAUAUCAUUAAAAUAUCUUUCGGCCUUGUCGUGUAUCAUCAUAUCAUAAUAAUAUUCUCCGACCUUAUCGGGUAACAAUGCACCUAUAUAAUCAUAAUCGAUGGAAAAAUCAAUAGCAUAAGCAAUCAUAUGAUGAAGUAUCAUGCUUUUAAACAUAAUUAAUGGCAUAAAUUUCCUAUAUAAUCAAUAAGCAUGACUUCUAACAUAGUUCAUGGAAUAAUUGCUAAUAUCAUCAUUAGAAAUGUUUUCUAACAUGAUCAUAAUCACAAGCAAUAUUGUGAGCAAUGACUCAUUAAGCCUAUUCAAUGGCCUAUCAUUAGCAUAAAGAUAGUAAAUCAAUAGCUUGAGUAAUAGCGAAUCCAUGGCAUAAUCUAUAGCUUAUUCAUGGAAUAGUUAAUAGCAUAAUGUAUGGCUUAGACAAUAUCAUAGUCAAGGGCUCAUUCAAUAGGAUAUUUAAUAGCCCAAUCAAUAGACCAACAAUAGCAUAAUCAAUAGCUCAUCAUAAUCUUAACCAAUAAAUCAUACAUAUGUCAUAAUCAUUAUGCCUUACUUUUAAUGUCAUUCAGCAUGACCAACAAGUACCAAGGUUCCGCAACAUUGCAUAAAAAGGGCAUCCUCUAACCAUUAAUAAGCGUAUAAGGGUCUUAAGAUAUCCAUUCAACAAUCUUGGCUUAUGGUGGGUAAAAGAUCACACUUUUAAAUCCCUGAAAUACAUUCUAAGUCAAACACUAACCUGAACUAGGCUAUGCUAUCUAAAUCCACACUUAGAUGUAUAACAAUCCACCAUUAAUCCUAAUGUAGAGAUUCUUCUCAAGCAUUUAAACUAAGUCCAAUAGAACUAAGGCAACCUUCAUUAGUGAAAGGAACUAAGGCCAAACUUACUCUAAGCAUGAUUAAUUAGAGUAUUCUACUUAAUUUAUGGUAAACUAAGGCAUUCUCAUGCUAAACAUGAGUAAUGAAGUCUAAUGCACAACGAUUCAAGGCAACAAGCUAAGUAUCUCACUCUACAAGUUCAACUUAGCCUAAAUAAUCCAACUAAAUCCAAAUCUUAAAUUUAUCAAUCCAACACCUAAACCCAUCCCAAAUCCAACACAAUAUCAUAAGAAUAUUAUGACAUACCUGAACCUAGCAAGGGAUAAACCUAGCUUACCUCGACAAUGAAAAAAGCUCAACAAAUUUCCUUUAUGAGAAGCCUCCUCAAGAUGCCAAGCUAUAUAAAACACUUAUACUCAUCAAUAUGCGAAUAUUGAUAUCCAUAUAGCAUUAUUGUGGUUCGUGCUCAAAAAUCACCUCAAAAACCCCCAUUUGGGUCCUACUUAUGUAAAUCACGUUUUUGGAACCAACCCAAUGUAAUAUCAAACUCACAAAAUCAUUAACCUUAUAAAUAGGUGAAAACCAAGCUAAUUUAGGGAUAAAAUCAAACACUAAAGGUUUUGUGGUUUGGGGAAUUAAAUCUAUAAAUUUCACCAAGAAAAGGGUGAAUUCUUAUUUUAAAUCAGAUGAAAAUCACAAAAAUAGUGUUAAUCUAGCUUCCCAGGCUCCUACAAGCUUCAAUUUUAAGCUAACACAUUAUUUUAGGAUUUUUGUCUCUCAAUACAAGAGUAAGAAUUGGAAAAAAUGUGGAUUAACACUACUGAAAAUUGCGGGUAUGGCAAUGAUUCAAAUACUAUUUCCAUAGAUAACAAAACCGUACCUAUAGAUCUAUGGCAAUGGUUACAACAUCUGAUACUACUGAUCGCAUUACAUUAGCUCUAACACAAUGAUUUUCUAUGAUGGUGAUGUAAACCGUCGCUAUAUUGGUAGCUCUAGCAAUGGUUAUUGAUUUGAAUAAAUGCGAUGGUUUAUAAGCUGUUGGGGCAGCUAUGAACUAUCCCUAUAUAAACAUUAGAG
RNAcentral lists this long non-coding RNA (2238 nucleotides) under Capsicum annuum. Its description in RNAcentral is "long non-coding RNA (CANN_LNC006788)". The record is from RNAcentral. Lineage: Eukaryota; Viridiplantae; Streptophyta; Magnoliopsida; Solanales; Solanaceae.